CAGCGCCACAAGUGGCAAUCACGUUUAUUGGGCCUAAAGCGUCCGUAGCCGGUUUAGCAAAUCUUUUGUGAAAUCGUCAGGCUUAACUUGACGAAUUGCAGAAGACACUACUAAACUAGGGACUGGGAGGAGUCAGAAGUAUUCUGGGGGGACCGGUAAAAUGGUAUAAUCCCCAGAGGACUACCGAUGGUGAAGGCAUCUGACCAGAACAGAUCCGACGGUGAGGGACGAAAGCCAGGGGAGCAAACCGGAUUAGAGACCCGAGUAGUCC
RNAcentral lists this ribosomal RNA (271 nucleotides) under uncultured archaeon. Its description in RNAcentral is "partial 16S ribosomal RNA". It matches the Rfam family "Archaeal small subunit ribosomal RNA", at positions 477 to 747 of the family's 1478-position model. The record is from RNAcentral.